Molecule: ribosomal RNA, 449 nt
Filed under: Oxynoe azuropunctata
Lineage: Eukaryota; Metazoa; Mollusca; Gastropoda; Oxynoeidae
Description: partial 16S ribosomal RNA
Rfam family: Bacterial large subunit ribosomal RNA
Source: RNAcentral
AGCCUAAAGAAAUUACCAAUAAUUUUAGGUGAAACCUGCCCAAUGCCUAUAUGGUGAAUGGCCGCAGUACCCUGACUGUGCUAAGGUAGCAUAAUCAGUUGGCUUUUAAAUGGAGUCGUGUAUGAAUGGAUUGAUGGGGUUAAGCUGUCUCUACUAGAUUUAUUUGAAUUUAAUGAGGAGGUGAAAAUGCCUCCGUUAAGAUAAAGGACGAUAAGACCCUUGGAGUUUUGACUAGAAAAGUUCAAUUGCUUCGUUGUUUUUGCUGGGGCGGCACAGAGGAAAAUAUUUAACCCUCUGAGGAUUAUAGGCCGAAAGUUUUAAGUGCAGUUAAACUACCCGAGGGAUAACAGCAUUAUUCUAUAUAGAGUUUGUGACCUCGAUGUUGGACUAGGAAUUAAUUAGGCUAGUCGCUUAAAUGUAUUGUUCUGUUCGAACUAUUUUUCCUACAU